Molecule: ribosomal RNA, 684 nt
Filed under: Rothia terrae
Lineage: Bacteria; Bacillati; Actinomycetota; Actinomycetes; Micrococcales; Micrococcaceae
Description: bacterial SSU rRNA
Rfam family: Bacterial small subunit ribosomal RNA
Source: RNAcentral
CGGUGCUUGCACUGGUUGGAUUAGUGGCGAACGGGUGAGUAAUACGUGAGUAACCUGCCUUUGACUCUGGGAUAAGCCUUGGAAACGAGGUCUAAUACCGGAUAUGACACAGUUUCGCAUGAAAUCUGUGUGGAAAGGGUUUGUACUGGUUUUAGAUGGGCUCACGGCCUAUCAGCUUGUUGGUGGGGUAAUGGCUCACCAAGGCGACGACGGGUAGCCGGCCUGAGAGGGUGACCGGCCACACUGGGACUGAGACACGGCCCAGACUCCUACGGGAGGCAGCAGUGGGGAAUAUUGCACAAUGGGCGCAAGCCUGAUGCAGCGACGCCGCGUGAGGGAUGACGGCCUUCGGGUUGUAAACCUCUUUCAGCAGGGGAGAAGCGAAAGUGACGGUACCUGCAGAAGAAGCGCCGGCUAACUACGUGCCAGCAGCCGCGGUAAUACGUAGGGCGCGAGCGUUGUCCGGAAUUAUUGGGCGUAAAGAGCUUGUAGGCGGUUUGUCGCGUCUGCUGUGAAAGCCCGGGGCUUAACUCCGGGUUUGCAGUGGGUACGGGCUAACUAGAGUGCAGUAGGGGAGACUGGAAUUCCUGGUGUAGCGGUGGAAUGCGCAGAUAUCAGGAGGAACACCGAUGGCGAAGGCAGGUCUCUGGGCUGUAACUGACGCUGAGAAGCGAAAGCAUGGGG